Molecule: ribosomal RNA, 253 nt
Filed under: uncultured bacterium
Lineage: Bacteria
Description: partial 16S ribosomal RNA
Rfam family: Bacterial small subunit ribosomal RNA
Source: RNAcentral
UACGGGGGGGGCAAGCGUUGUUCGGAAUUACUGGGCGUAAAGGGCUCGUAGGCGGCCAACUAAGUCAGGCGUGAAAUCCCUCGGCUUAACCGGGGAACUGCGUCUGAUACUGGAUGGCUUGAAUCCGGGAGAGGGAUGCGGAAUUCCAGGUGUAGCGGUGAAAUGCGUAGAUAUCUGGAGGAACACCAAUGGCGAAGGCAGCUCACUGGGACGGUAUUGACGCUGAGACGCGAAAGCGUGGGGAGCAAACGGG